AGGUAAGCUACUAAGAGCGAAUGGUGGAUGCCUUGACUGGUAAAGGCGAUGAAGGACGUACUAGACUGCGAUAAGCUACGGGGAGCUGUCAAGAAGCUUUGAUCCGUAGAUUUCCGAAUGGGGCAACCCAAUGUAUAGAGAUAUACAUUACCUAUAUAGGAGCGAACGAGGGGAAUUGAAACAUCUUAGUACUCUCAGGAAAAGAAAUCAAUAGAGAUUGCGUCAGUAGCGGCGAGCGAAAGCGCAAGAGGGCAAACCCAGUGCUUGCACUGGGGGUUGUAGGACUGCAAUGUGCAAGAGGUAAGUUUAGCAGAACAUUCUGGAAAGUAUAACCAUAGAGGGUGAUAGUCCCGUAUGCGAAAAACAAACCUUAGCUAGCAGUAUCCUGAGUAGGGCGGGACACGAGGAAUCCUGUCUGAAUCCGGGUCGACCACGAUCCAACCCUAAAUACUAAUACCAGAUCGAUAGUGCACAAGUACCGUGAGGGAAAGGUGAAAAGAACUGAGGUGAUCAGAGUGAAAUAGAACCUGAAACCAUUUGCUUACAAUCAUUCAGAGCCCUAUGUAGCAAUACAGGGUGAUGGACUGCCUUUUGCAUAAUGAGCCUGCGAGUUGUGGUGUCUGGCAAGGUUAAGCAAACGCGAAGCCGUAGCGAAAGCGAGUCUGAAUAGGGCGCUUAGUCAGAUGCUGCAGACCCGAAACGAAGUGAUCUAUCCAUGAGCAAGUUGAAGCUAGUGUAAGAACUAGUGGAGGACUGAACCCAUAGGCGUUGAAAAGCCCCGGGAUGACUUGUGGAUAGGGGUGAAAGGCCAAUCAAACUUCGUGAUAGCUGGUUCUCUCCGAAAUAUAUUUAGGUAUAGCGUUGUGUCGUAAUAUAAGGGGGUAGAGCACUGAAUGGGCUAGGGCAUACACCAAUGUACCAAACCCUAUCAAACUCCGAAUACCUUAUAUGUAAUCACAGCAGUCAGGCGGCGAGUGAUAAAAUCCGUCGUCAAGAGGGAAACAACCCAGACUACCAGCUAAGGUCCCUAAAUCUUACUUAAGUGGAAAACGAUGUGAAGUUACUUAAACAACCAGGAGGUUGGCUUAGAAGCAGCCAUCCUUUAAAGAAAGCGUAAUAGCUCACUGGUCUAGUGAUUUUGCGCGGAAAAUAUAACGGGGCUAAAGUAAGUACCGAAGCUGUAGACUUAGUUUACUAAGUGGUAGGAGAGCGUUCUAUUUGCGUCGAAGGUAUACCGGUAAGGAGUGCUGGAGCGAAUAGAAGUGAGCAUGCAGGCAUGAGUAGCGAUAAUUAAUGUGAGAAUCAUUAACGCCGUAAACCCAAGGUUUCCUACGCGAUGCUCGUCAUCGUAGGGUUAGUCGGGUCCUAAGUCGAGUCCGAAAGGGGUAGACGAUGGCAAAUUGGUUAAUAUUCCAAUACCAACAUUAGUGUGCGAUGGAAGGACGCUUAGGGCUAAGGGGGCUAGCGGAUGGAAGUGCUAGUCUAAGGUCGUAGGAGGUUAUACAGGCAAAUCCGUAUAACAAUACUCCGAGAACUGAAAGGCUUUUUGAAGUCUUCGGAUGGAUAGAAGAACCCCUGAUGCCGUCGAGCCAAGAAAAGUUUCUAAGUUUAGCUAAUGUUGCCCGUACCGUAAACCGACACAGGUGGGUGGGAUGAGUAUUCUAAGGCGCGUGGAAGAACUCUCUUUAAGGAACUCUGCAAAAUAGCACCGUAUCUUCGGUAUAAGGUGUGGUUAGCUUUGUAUUAGGAUUUACUCCGAAAGCAAGGAAACUUACAACAAAGAGUCCCUCCCGACUGUUUACCAAAAACACAGCACUCUGCUAACUCGUAAGAGGAUGUAUAGGGUGUGACGCCUGCCCGGUGCUCGAAGGUUAAUUGAUGGGGUUAGCAUUAGCGAAGCUCUUGAUCGAAGCCCGAGUAAACGGCGGCCGUAACUAUAACGGUCCUAAGGUAGCGAAAUUCCUUGUCGGUUAAAUACCGACCUGCAUGAAUGGCGUAACGAGAUGGGAGCUGUCUCAAAGAGGGAUCCAGUGAAAUUGUAGUGGAGGUGAAAAUUCCUCCUACCCGCGGCAAGACGGAAAGACCCCGUGGACCUUUACUACAGCUUGACACUGCUACUUGGAUAAGAAUGUGCAGGAUAGGUGGGAGGCUUUGAGUAUAUGACGCCAGUUGUAUAUGAGCCAUUGUUGAGAUACCACUCUUUCUUAUUUGGGUAGCUAACCAGCUUGAGUUAUCCUCAAGUGGGACAAUGUCUGGUGGGUAGUUUGACUGGGGCGGUCGCCUCCCAAAUAAUAACGGAGGCUUACAAAGGUUGGCUCAGAACGGUUGGAAAUCGUUCGUAGAGUAUAAAGGUAUAAGCCAGCUUAACUGCAAGACAUACAAGUCAAGCAGAGACGAAAGUCGGUCUUAGUGAUCCGGUGGUUCUGUGUGGAAGGGCCAUCGCUCAAAGGAUAAAAGGUACCCCGGGGAUAACAGGCUGAUCUCCCCAAGAGCUCACAUCGACGGGGAGGUUUGGCACCUCGAUGUCGGCUCAUCGCAUCCUGGGGCUGGAGCAGGUCCCAAGGGUAUGGCUGUUCGCCAUUUAAAGCGGUACGCGAGCUGGGUUCAGAACGUCGUGAGACAGUUCGGUCCCUAUCUGCCGUGGGCGUAAGAAGAUUGAAGAGAUUUGACCCUAGUACGAGAGGACCGGGUUGAACAAACCACUGGUGUAGCUGUUGUUCUGCCAAGAGCAUCGCAGCGUAGCUAAGUUUGGAAAGGAUAAACGCUGAAAGCAUCUAAGCGUGAAGCCAACUCUAAGAUGAAUCUUCUCUAAGCUCUCUAGAAGACUACUAGUUUGAUAGGCUGGGUGUGUAAUGGAUGAAAGUCCUUUAGCUGACCAGUACUAAUAGAGCGUUUGGCUUAUCUUU
RNAcentral lists this ribosomal RNA (2906 nucleotides) under Campylobacter jejuni. RNAcentral describes it as "23S ribosomal RNA". It matches the Rfam family "Bacterial large subunit ribosomal RNA". Lineage: Bacteria; Pseudomonadati; Campylobacterota; Epsilonproteobacteria; Campylobacterales; Campylobacteraceae. The record is from RNAcentral.